GACGAACGCUGGCGGCGUGCUUAACACAUGCAAGUCGAACGAUGAAGCUGGAGCUCGCUCCGGUGGAUUAGUGGCGAACGGGUGAGUAACACGUGAGCAAUCUGCCCUUGACUCUGGGAUAACUGCGGGAAACUGUAGCUAAUACCGGAUACGAGACCUGAAGGCAUCUUCGGGUCUGGAAAGAAUUUCGGUCAAGGAUGAGCUCGCGGCCUAUCAGCUUGUUGGUGAGGUAAUGGCUCACCAAGGCGACGACGGGUAGCCGGCCUGAGAGGGUGACCGGCCACACUGGGACUGAGACACGGCCCAGACUCCUACGGGAGGCAGCAGUGGGGAAUAUUGCACAAUGGGCGAAAGCCUGAUGCAGCAACGCCGUGUGAGGGAUGAAGGCCUUCGGGUUGUAAACCUCUUUUAGCAGGGAAGAAGCGAAAGUGACGGUACCUGCAGAAAAAGCACCGGCUAACUACGUGCCAGCCGCCGCCGUAA
This 483-nucleotide ribosomal RNA is filed under the name uncultured bacterium. RNAcentral describes it as "partial 16S ribosomal RNA". It matches the Rfam family "Bacterial small subunit ribosomal RNA", at positions 28 to 523 of the family's 1533-position model. The record is from RNAcentral.